CGCCUCCACUCCACCCACUCCCUCUCUGUCUCCCACUGCUCACUCCUCCUCUACCUACUCCCUCUCACAUUAUCUCUUCGUCUUCCCUCUACUCUCCCUUUCCGCCUCCCUCUCUAUCCACUCCUGGCGAUAGCCGCCACCUCGGCUAGGGCGGUAGUGGCGGCGGCAUUGGUGAGGGCGACAUUGGCGAGAGCAGCGACGACAUUGGCUAGGGUGGUGGCGGCGGGGCGGAUCCAUCGACGGCCACCACGAGGAGGGCGGAUCCAUCGCCGGCCACCGCGGGGAGGCUGGAUCCAUCGCCUGCCACCGCGGGGAGGCCGGAUCCGUCGCCUGCUACCGCGGGGAGGUUGGAUCCGUCGCUGGCGACCGCGGGGAGGCUGGAUCCGUCGCCUACCACCGCGGGGAGGCCGGAUUUGUCACCGGCGACCGUGGGGACGACGACGAUAGGCCUCGUGCAAGGCGGCGACAAUGACGGUGGUAGCGGAGAAGACGACAGUGGUGACGGCGUGACGGUGGCGAUGGCCGCUGGAUUAGGACACCUCGUUCCAGAUGGGUGGAAGAUCCGCACGUGAAAACCAAUUCCGACCGCACGGAAAAAUCGUUAUUGUACUAGCGUGAGCUAUAAGACAAUUAUAAAAUUACGUGGAGGAGAGGGAUAAAAAAUAUGAUGUGUUGAUUCUAA
This is a long non-coding RNA of Oryza sativa Japonica Group (Japanese rice), 682 nucleotides long. RefSeq lists it as uncharacterized. NCBI's taxonomy places the organism in Eukaryota, Viridiplantae, Streptophyta, Magnoliopsida, Poales, Poaceae. The record is from RefSeq and is a predicted model, not a curated record.